AUAUUGGAUUCUAAUGAUUUACAGAAUGGUUUUACUUUACAGGGAAGUACGGUCAAAACUCCCGAAUAGCACCUGCGAUCUCAGCGUGCUGGGGUUAGAGUUCUUGAAACACUGCUAGGAAAACGGUGCUAGAUUCCCCGGGUCCGGCUCCAGCCCACAUCCGUUCACAGCUACCCUGGCACUCGUUGCCUUCUCCCGGGCUCUCGCCCUGGAACGUCCCCGGCGCGUUCCCGGCCGCGCUGCGCUCUCGCCCUGCCUUCUCCAUGUUUCUCUAAGGCUCUCUCUCCUCGCCCGGGGUUGGGAACCAGAGGUGGCAGGGGAAGUGGCAUGCGUUAUUUCCGGGCGCUGGCCUACGUCCCCCCACCCCUCGUCUGAGGGUGGACGGGGAUACGUCUGCCUGCUCUACGGCGUCCUCGGGGCUGCGGACACGGCACGACUGGGCCUCCCCAGCUCCGGCCGCUCGCCCGACGCCCGGGACUUCUGAGCCUCUAGGUGAACGCAGGCGCCGCUUGCGCUCGCGGCCCGUCGGGCCACCAGGGGGCGCCCGCCCGCCCGCCAGCCCGGCGCGGGGCUGGGGCUGCUUUCUUCCCCGGGACUCAACGAGGGCAGGCGAAGUUGCCUUCCAGAACGUACCUUGCUUGGGCCGACUGGUUCACAGUGAAUAGAGACAUUUAUUACCAUUUAAGCUUCGAACAUGUGAUACGUGACUGGUUGGAAUUCCUGGAGAACUGUAUUAACAUGUUUUAGAGAGUUGAAUCCUGAGAACAUUUAUUGCGUGACUAAUCAUUGAAAUCCUUAAUGUGAACUGGAUGCUGCAACAGCUGUCCUCUUGGGUUUAGGUGUUGUUCCUUCACGGAAUCCAUGCCUGAGUCUGUGAACACCUGAGCAGUAGUUGACCUUGGCCUGGCCUUUUCUUUUAAAAGGCAGGAUGGGGAAUUCCCUCAUGGCACAGUGGUUAAGAAUCCGCCUGCUAAUGCAGGGGUCAUGGGUUUGAUCCCUGGUCCGGGAAGAUCCCACAUGCCAUGGAGCAACUAAGCCCAUGCACUACAACUUCGGAGCCAGUGAGCCACAACUACUGAGUCUACGAACUACAACUAUUGAAGCCCGCAUGCCUAGAGCCCAUGCUCCACAAGAGAAGCCACUGCAAUGAAAAGCCUGCAUGCCACAACGAAGAGUAGCCCCUGCUCGGUGCAACUAGAGAAAGCCCCACACACAGCAAUGAAGACCCAAUGCAGCCAAAUAAAUAAAUAAAUAAAUAAAUAAAUAUUAAAAAAAAUAAAAGGGAGGAUGGUAUUCUUGGAAGAGGCAUGGACUAUGAAAUUAGACCUGUAACAAUGUGAAUCCUGAUAUUAUCAAUUACUCCUUCUUCACUUUGGGCUCUCUGGGCCUCCAUUUCCCCAUUUGUAGAAUUUGUGUAAUUUAAUCUGCUUGGGGAUUAGAUGAGAUAACCUGUGUGAAGUGUCCAGGGCAACAAUGUAGGCAGUAAGCUUCAUUCUACUUCUCUCCCUUCAAAAAUAUUUAAAGGUUUCUGUUACUGUCAAGGGAAGACAUUCUUUUCUGGCUCCUCUAGUGGGAUUCAAUACAUUUCUCAAGGGGAAAGGAAAUGGCAAAGCGGGUAUCUGAAAGUGGUUGGAAUACUGAUUUUAGGUGUACCAUGGAUUACUUAGGCUUUUGUGGGUUGGACUGAGUAUUAAUAAGCAUUUAGAGUCCCUUAUUUUAGGAAAUGGUAUUCAGUUUGGGAAUAGGAAAUAAGGUGUCAAGGGCUAGUGCUUGCUGUCAGCAGGUACAAGAGUUGGGUAUGGAAUUAAGAACCCAACUAUAUGAUUUCUGAAUAAAUAGCAAAGCUAGUCACUAGGAUGGAGCAAGCAUUGUUUGGGUUUGAGGAAUAGCUACAGCUCAGUGGGUUUCAAAGAAUACCACAUUUGGGGCCACAAGACAACUCUCAACUUAAACCUAUUGAUGGAUCUAGGACUUUUGCUAUAUUGCUAAACACAACUGCAGGAUAGUCACUUGCAUUGUGAGCCUUCAGAAUUUGUUAUCAGUAAGACUGGGAGAAGUCGGAUCUGGAUUGUGGUCUUCUUCUUGAGGGCAACUAAGAAGCAUUUUCUGAGCAUAACUAUUGUUCACACACUUUGACUAUUUAUGUCAUCAUAGAAAUAACAAACUGGACUAUGUAUAAUUUAUAGUUUAUCACCAUGGUUCUUUGACUCUCAGAUCACUUCUAGGAAACAUUUCUGGUGAUACUUUUUUUUUUUCCUAUCAUAAUGCUUU
Long non-coding RNA from Hippopotamus amphibius kiboko, 2271 nucleotides. RefSeq lists it as uncharacterized. The transcript is spliced from 4 exons. Lineage: Eukaryota; Metazoa; Chordata; Mammalia; Artiodactyla; Hippopotamidae. The record is from RefSeq and is a predicted model, not a curated record.